This is a long non-coding RNA of Apis mellifera (honey bee), 577 nucleotides long. RefSeq lists it as uncharacterized. NCBI's taxonomy places the organism in Eukaryota, Metazoa, Arthropoda, Insecta, Hymenoptera, Apidae. The transcript is spliced from 2 exons. The record is from RefSeq and is a predicted model, not a curated record.
AAUGAUUUUAUUCUUUGAAUAAAACGAAGUGCGUUAAAUAAAUUAUUCGUGUAACGAAUCGAAAUUUUCCUCAAACUUUUCUCAUGCCGCCUUUUAUAAGAUUCGGUACAUUACUCAUAAUCGUCACGUACUUUGUGUAACUGUAUAAAUUUCAAACUGGACAAUGCGGAACAGAAGGUGGCCAUGCCGUCGACGAAUAAUUACGUAAGCGACGCUUUCGUCAGAAUUUUUCUUCUUUGAAUAAGUGCGUGAAGAUACUUGAAAAUUUUAUAACGAAAACGAAAUGAAGUACAAAGUAAAUCAUUUCAUUAAAAAAAACUAAACAUACUUGAGUGCAGAGAAGGACAGUCGCGCUAUAUGCGCUAUAUGAAUCGACAAUGAAUUAUUCUCACUUUUCUUUGGCUGGCAUUCUCUCGCUGAUCCAUUGACACAUAAAGAGCGUUGUGGAUUCGUUGAUUUUCGUCCGCUCGUACGUCAUACUUUCGUAUGCACCAUGCUCGAGUGUUCGAAUAAUUGAGUUCGCGUGCUAAUGCAUGCGGAACUAACUGUCGUACAAUAAAUUAUAUUUACAAAUGUA